This is a long non-coding RNA of Bombyx mori (domestic silkworm), 2933 nucleotides long. RefSeq lists it as uncharacterized. The record is from RefSeq and is a predicted model, not a curated record. Lineage: Eukaryota; Metazoa; Arthropoda; Insecta; Lepidoptera; Bombycidae. The transcript has 3 exons.
UGUCGUAAACUCUUCUUUAUUGAUUUAAAAAGGGCAAGAGAUGUAUUAUUUUGAGUAUAUUGAUGUGAUAUUGUGGAUGGAGAACUCUCUUUAAAAGUGUCCGAAAAAUAAAGUGACUUCAAUUCAACGAACAACAAAACAAUUUGAUAGGAUGCAUCAAAUUUACAUUUAACAUAAAUAAAAUUCCUACCUAAGCUGAGAGCCUUGAAAGGCUAUUUCAGCGUAACCUUAACUAGUAGGUGAGCUCACGGGGUUCAAGCCUGAUGACGUUGCUAACACGAACCCUAGCAAGAGCCGUGCUUCACAGAAUCUACCACCGGAUCGGAAAUGCGACCCACUGAGAAGAUCCGGCGAGAAACUCAGUGGGCUGUGUCUGAGGGUUCAUUUACUCGUCGAGCCCUUCGUCGCAAGCGACGGGUUCGACGAGAACGAUGACCGAUGCUUGAGGAUCGGGAAUGUAGUUACCGGCGGCCACGAUGAGAGGGUUCUCGUGUCGCCAUGUCGUGCCGCUUUAUCGAAAUGCCGACUGAAGAUACUGAUGGACUCUAAGUCCAGGUCGUCAAGGAGGUCGACGUUCCUGACGAACCACGGAGCUCCGACGGCUAUCCUGCAAAAACGGGAUUGAAUGACUUGGAGAUUUCACAACUUAAUACAGUUUUCUUUUUUUUUUUUGAGAUUGAUUUCCCAUUUCUAUGCUUUUGUUUGUCACUUAUGAGUUAAAUAUUUUUAAGCUCUACCCUCGAAGAAGCUUAAUCAAGCAUUUAACUUGCUUUUCAUUCGUAAAAAAAAGCCCAUAAACCGAAAUCCUUUAUAACAAAAACCCGAGCUUUAUCUGUUGUUUCACGAAAAGUGAAAUUUAGCGAAAUCAAAGAUUUUAUUUUUAUAAGAGAAUUUAGAUGUCGGGUGGAAAGAAUAGAAAGCAUCUCUUAAUAAAAUGGAAAUUAACUGUGAAAGAAAACUAGGUUUCCUACUUCAUUGAAGAAAACAAUGAAAAUUUUAUUUCACUGUCAAAUAUUAAAUUUUUUUUAAGGGAUUUUAUGACCUGGUAACUAAGACUUUUAAGUCAUGUCUUGUUUUAAUUAAUUUUCUGAUUUUUAUGAAAAAUAAUGAAAUGAAAUGAAGAUGAUUAAUUUGAGACAUUAAUCAACUGAGAUGAAAUCAAAUGAAAUGAGAUGAGAUGAUAUGGGAUGAAAUAUAAUCUCAGUAAAAUGGUGGUGGUAUUGAGACUUUUUCAUUGGACUUUUUGGAGGAUCCCGAGAGGAUCCAGCGGCUUUGUUUCAUUUUCCCACAUUUGUGCACUUUCACAGAUAUUAAACAGUUAAUAAACCACCGUUAUUACACAUUUAAACCUGAAAAAACACUAAAUAGAAAAAAUAAAACAAAUCACACAACUUCACUCCUCGCGUUCAGGCCAAAAAGUCCGGAUUUAUUUUGGUUUAAAAUAAGUGUAGAUUAUAUCAAACGUCAAACAACACAAGAAAAUGACAUUUGAGACAGCUGAACUUAUAGUAACGGCAGGGGGCAGCAUCUUAAUUAAAAACAAAGCGAUGCGUUUGUAGGUGAAUGAAGUUAGCCCCUCAAAAAAAUUUUUUUUUCCUGUUUUCUACUUAUUUUCUAUUAAUUCGUUUGUUCAUCAUUUGUUCUUGAUUGUUCAUUGUUAAUAAUUGUUUGUUCCCCAUUUAUUUAUUUUAAAAAAAAUAUUAAAAAUAUAUCUAAAAGUUAGCCCCUCGAUUGCAAUUUUUAAUAUUUUUUCGUCCUUAAUUACUCGUAAAUAUUCAUUUUCGAUUGUUCUUAUAUAAAAUACGUUUGUUCUCUUUCGAAAUUACUCAUUUUUUGUUUAAUUAAUUGUAUUAGUUGAAUAAAUGUAUACAAAAUAUGUGUACUGCGCAUGCCAUAAGUGUAUAAUCUAUGGCGCAUGCGUCAACUAUAAUGCCUAAACUUUCUACGCGGUUUUAAUCGUGAAAAAAAAACAAUUAUAAAUCCUGAAGGAUCAAUUAAUUGGUAUACAGUUUAAUUAAAAAAAAAAAAAACAAAAUAAAUAAAAUAAUGUGCAUUCGCGUAAAGUUAGACCAAAUACAUUUUUUCCAUCCUCCUAUAUACCUAUCGCUAUGAAGGUAUAAAAAAGAUAGGUUAAGAGUUCACAUAGGUAAUAUAAACAAAUAAGUAAAUAUGUUCAUUAAUUAUCUUUCAAGAGAUAAUGUAGGUAUACAUUAUAAUAACAUUUUGACACAGUCGAAAUUAUAUUCCUAACAUUAGUAAAAUAACAUUUUAAUAUUUUUUUUAUAGGUUAUGUAUUGAAAUUGUUGGAAAAUUAUUUCAUGUUUUAGCUGGAAAACUACAUGGAGAAUUAUAUGCAAUACAAGAUAAUGAGCUCCAUUAAAUGAAUUCGAAUGAAACCAAACUGUUUACCAUCCAAAUUCGAUUGUCGGGCAGAUAGAAAACGAAAAUUCACUCAUAGUGAACCUGGCCUGCAUUUGUGAAACGGCAAAGACUCACUAUUAUCAAGGAAAUUGAAGAGACAACUAAAAAUGAGAUGUGUCGUAUUAUUAUACCUUUGCCAUCUUGUAGUCAAGAUGUCCAGCCACUUGAAAAUAGGUGUAGUAAUGACAAAGCUAUCCAAGUAGCUCCAGCACAGGAACACAAAGGCAAGGCAAGUGUGUAUUGCCACAUCACCCCUUAAUAUAUCUGAAGCAAGUAUAAGUAAACAAUCAGAACCAGCAAAAAAAAAAACUGUUGUUCCUGAGGACAAAUUUGACAGUGAUGAGUCAAAUGCACCAGCAACAGAAGGAUCAACUGUUGACUAUGGGUUAUAGAAGAAGAAGAUUAAUUCAUAUUUAUUUAAAUUAAUAUUAAUGAAUAUUAAUUUAAAUUAUCGUGCAAAAUUCGUGGUGAAAACAUAUGUGUAUUUUAUAAAUAAAUAUUCAUUCUCAGUA